GCAGUCGCCGCGGGAAUACGUAGGGCGCAAGCGUUAAUCGGAAUUACUGGGCGUAAAGCGCACGCAGGCGGUCUGACAAGUCAGAUGUGAAAUCCCCGGGCUUAACCUGGGAACUGCAUUUGAAACUGUCAGGCUGGAGUCUUGUAGAGGGGGGUAGAAUUCCAGGUGUAGCGGUGAAAUGCGUAGAGAUCUGGAGGAAUACCGGUGGCGAAGGCGGCCCCCUGGACAAAGACUGACGCUCAGGUGCGAAAGCGUGGGGAGCAAACAGGAUUAGAUACCCCUGUAGUCCCUGUCUCUUAUAC
This 302-nucleotide ribosomal RNA is filed under the name uncultured bacterium. RNAcentral's name for it is "partial 16S ribosomal RNA". It matches the Rfam family "Bacterial small subunit ribosomal RNA", at positions 508 to 807 of the family's 1533-position model. The record is from RNAcentral.